GACGAACGCUGGCGGCGUGCUUAACACAUGCAAGUCGAACGGAAAGGCCCUGCUUUUGUGGGGUGCUCGAGUGGCGAACGGGUGAGUAACACGUGAGUAACCUGCCCUUGACUUUGGGAUAACUUCAGGAAACUGGGGCUAAUACCGGAUAGGAGCUCCUGCUGCAUGGUGGGGGUUGGAAAGUUUCGGCGGUUGGGGAUGGACUCGCGGCUUAUCAGCUUGUUGGUGGGGUAGUGGCUUACCAAGGCUUUGACGGGUAGCCGGCCUGAGAGGGUGACCGGGCACCUUGGGACUGAGAUACGGCCCAGACUCCUACGGGAGGCAGCAGUGGGGAAUAUUGCACAAUGGGCGGAAGCCUGAUGCAGCAACGCCGCGUGCGGGAUGACGGCCUUCGGGUUGUAAACCGCUUUCGCCUGUGACGAAGCGUGAGUGACGGUAAUGGGUAAAGAAGCACCGGCUAACUACGUG
This 468-nucleotide ribosomal RNA is filed under the name uncultured bacterium. Its description in RNAcentral is "partial 16S ribosomal RNA". It matches the Rfam family "Bacterial small subunit ribosomal RNA", at positions 28 to 507 of the family's 1533-position model. The record is from RNAcentral.